ACCAGACUCCUACGGGAGGCAGCAGUGGGGAAUAUUGCACAAUGGGGGGAACCCUGAUGCAGCGACGCCGCGUGGGUGAAGGAGCACCUCGGUAUGUAAAGCUCUAUCAGCGGGGAAGAAGGAAGACGGUACCCGACUAAGAAGCCCCGGCUAACUACGUGCCAGCAGCCGCGGUAAUACGUAGGGGGCGAGCGUUAUCCGGAUUUACUGGGUGUAAAGGGAGCGCAGGCGGCACGGCAAGCCUGAUGUGAAAGCCCGCGGCCCAACCGCGGGACUGCAUUGGGAACUACCGGGCUGGAGUGCCGGAGAGGUAGGCGGAAUUCCUAGUGUAGCGGUGAAAUGCGUAGAUAUUAGGAGGAACACCAGUGGCGAAGGCGGCCUACUGGACGGUGACUGACGCUGAGGCUCGAAAGCGUGGGGAGCAAACAGGAUUAGAUACCCUGGUA
Molecule: ribosomal RNA, 446 nt
Filed under: uncultured bacterium
Lineage: Bacteria
Description: bacterial SSU rRNA
Rfam family: Bacterial small subunit ribosomal RNA
Source: RNAcentral